CCCAGACUCCUACGGGAGGCAGCAGUGGGGGAUAUUGCACAAUGGGGGGAACCCUGAUGCAGCGACGCCGCGUGGGUGAAGGAGCGUUUCGGCGCGUAAAGCCCUAUCGGCAGGGAAGAAGGAGGACGGUACCUGACUAAGAAGCCCCGGCUAACUACGUGCCAGCAGCCGCGGUAAUACGUAGGGGGCAAGCGUUAUCCGGAUUUACUGGGUGUAAAGGGGGCGCAGACGGCAGCGCAAGCCAGGAGUGAAAGCCCGGGGCCCAACCCCGGGACUGCUCUUGGAACUGCGCGGCUGGAGUGCAGGAGGGGCAGGCGGAGUUCCUGGUGUAGCGGUGAAAUGCGUAGAUAUCAGGAGGAACACCGGUGGCGAAGGCGGCCUGCUGGACUGCGACUGACGUUGAGGCCCGAAAGCGUGGGGAGCAAACAGGAUUAGAUACCCGCGUACA
This 448-nucleotide ribosomal RNA is filed under the name uncultured bacterium. RNAcentral describes it as "partial 16S ribosomal RNA". It matches the Rfam family "Bacterial small subunit ribosomal RNA", at positions 330 to 797 of the family's 1533-position model. The record is from RNAcentral.